GCUGCUGGGGAGCCGGUGGCGUACGCGGCGAGGGAGCGGGGACGGGGCGGCGCCUUCUGGCUGGGGCUGGGGCCGGCGAGAGCGCGAACGAGCGACGGCGGCACGGGCCUGUGGACGGCGGCAUCAGCUGCUAGCAGAAAUUGGAAGAAGAGAAUCAACUAUUUUGUGCAAGUAUUUUGUUCAGGUUAGAAGACAGAGUAUUGUGAAACCAGUGUAGUCUCUGGAGUUAGACCUGGAGUCAGAAUGUAUAUUUACCAUACUAGAAAAAGGAUGUUUGGAAGAAUGGCCUUCCAAGUCAGAAGCAUCUGGGUUGAAAUUGAGCUCCACUCCCUACUGUGCCAAAGCCAGAUAGCAGUGUUCUUACUUGGCCUACUCCUAAGGCAAGCCAUCUCUGAUGUCCUGGAAGAUUCUCUUCUAUCCAGUGGUUGGAAUGAAUCUUCUGGUAGAAGGCAAGGCGGGAAUUUGGUACACGGGUUGAAAGUCGUGUUCCUAAGGUUCUCUAUUGAAAUCUGUGAGCAGAAGAGAGGCCCCGGAGUCGUCCUGGAAAUUUUCUUGAGCUGGAGUGUAAUGACAGGAUCUCAGCUCACUGCAACCUCCACCUCCCGGAUUGAAGCCCUCUCCUACUUCAGCCUCCCGAGUAGCUGGGAUUACAGGCAUGUGCCACCACACCCAGCUAAUUUAGUAGAGAUUCUGUUUCACCGUGAUGGCCAGACUAGUCUUGACCUCCUGACCUCAAAUGAUAAACCCCUCUUGGCCUCCCAGAGAGCUGGGAUUAUAGGCGUGAGUCACCCUGCCCGGCCUCAUAUGAAUACUUGUUACAUGUGUAGAAUGUGUAAUGAUCAAGUCAGGGUACGUGGAGUAUUCAUCACCUUGAGUAUUUAUUUUAUUUUAUUUUAUUUUUUAAGACGGAGUGUUGCUGUUUUCCAGGCCGGAGUGCAGUGGUGCAAUCUCGGCUUACUGUAACCUCUGCCUCCCUAGUUCAAGCAGUUCUCCCGCCUCAGCCUUUGGAGUAAGCUGGGAUUGAGCCAUGCACCACUACACUGGGCUAAUUUUUGUAUUUUGAAUAGAGACAGGGUUUCACCAUGUGGUCCAGGCUGGUCUGGAACCCUGACCUCAGGUGAUCCGUCUGCCUCAGCCUCCCAAAGUUCUGGGAUUACAGGUGUGAGCUACUGUGCCUGGCCGAGAUUGAUCAUCUCUGUGUGCUGGUUAACAUUUCUAGCCUUCUCUUUCAGCUACUUUGAAAUAUACAAUAGGUAUUUGCUAACAUAUUGCAAAUACGUCGCGCCGUUGCACUCCAGCCUAACUAUGGUGACCGUACUCUGCUAUAGAACAUUAGGAUUUACUGUUUCUAACUGUACAUUUGUACCCAUUAACCAACACCUCUCCUCCUCACCCCCAUCCCAUCCCAGCCUCUGAUACCUGUCAUCAUAUUCUCUCUUUCCAUAAGAUCAACUUUUUUUUGUUGUCGUUGUUGUUUUUAAUUCUCACAUGUCUGUGAGAAUGUGUGAUGUAUGGCUGGCCUGACUUAUUUCACUUAACAUAAUGACCUCCACCUUCAUCCAUGUUGCUGCAAGCAACGCGCUUUCGCUUUGGUGUUUUUUUCUGGCUGAAGAGCUUUCCAUUUGUAUAUAUGCCACGUUUUCCUUGCCUGCUCGCGUUGGUGGAUACUUGGGUUGAUUCCAUAUCUUUGCUGUUGUCAAUAGUGCUAUGAUAAACACGUGAGUGCACAUUGAUUUGAUAUGCUGAUUUCUUUUAUGUUGGUUAAAUAGCCAGUGGUGGGAUUGCUGGAUCGUGUAGUAGUUUUGUUUUUAGUGUUUUGAGAAAUCUCCGUACUGGUUUUCAUCACGACGUUGCUGAUUUCCAGUCCCACCUCGGUGUGUAAGAGUUCCCUUUUCUCCGCAUCAUGUCAGCAUCUGCUGUUUGUAUUUUUGAGAAUAGAUACCCUAACUGUGGUAAGGUGGUGGGUAUCUGGUUGUAGUUUUGAUUUGCACUUACCUGGUGAAUACCGAUGUCAGCAUUUUUUAAUGUAUCAGUUGGCUAUUUGUAUGUUUUCGAUGUCCUUCGCCCAUUUUUUCGUGGGAUUAUUUGUCGUUUUUAAUUGUCGGUUAUUUGAGCUCGUUAUGGGUUCUGAAUUUUAGUCCUUCGUCAUGAAUAGUUUGCACACGUGGUUUCCCGUUCAACAUGUUGUCUCUUUGCUCUGUCGUUUGUUUUCUUUGCUGUGCAGAAGCUGAUUGAAAGAGAUGUAAUCCCAGCAGGUUGGGAGGCUGAGGUGAGUGGAUUGCCCGAGAUGGGGCUGUGAGACCAGCCUGGCCAACGUGGUGAAACCCCAUGUUUACAAAUGAUACAGAAAAAUUAGCUUGGUGCGUUGGUGGCCAUCUCCUGGGUUCAAGCAAUUCUCCUGCCUCAGCCUCCCAAGUAGCUGGGACUGCAGGAGCCUGCCACUAUGCCUGGUUAAUUCUUUUUUUUUUUUUUUUUUGGUAGGAGUUUUGCUCUUGCCGCCGAGGCUGUAGUGCAAUGGCACCAUCUUGGCUCACCACAACCUCUGCCUCCUGGAUUCAAGUGAUUAUCCUGCCUCAGCCUCUGGAGCAGCUGGGAUUAGCCCAGCUAAUUUAUUUUUAUUUUUGAGGUGGAGUUUUGCCUUCGUUGCCCAGGCUGGAGUACAAUGGUGCUAUCCCGGCUCACGGCAACAUCCGCCUCCUGGGUUCAAAUCUGUGUCUGCAUUGAUUCCACACAAGAGUUCAGUCAUCAUAUGGGAAGUGAAUCAUAGCUGUGGGGGGGGGCUCCAUGCAGGACGCCACGUGCCCCUGAGGCCAGUCCCUGUGGCCACAGAAGGAACAUCUGCUUCCGCCAGUUGGGCAAGAGUCUUUCCUGUCUAGAAAUGGGCAGAAGGACUUCCCCUGCUCCCCACCCACCGUCGUAUCCCAAACACACCCGUGUGGAUGGAUGCCUCGACAUCUCCCCUCAGCCCAGGGCCUGAGCUCUUCCUGAUGAGGGUUUAGCAGGAGUGACCGCCUCUCCCCGGGUCCAUGUUGCGGGCAGCUGCCUUCUCCUCAGCUCCUGUGGGGCAGAACGAGAGCCAGCCAGCUCUCAACAUCCCAGGAUGUUCCAGGGAUGCUGCUAACUAAAGCAGUCGGGGCCUUGUGGGUGAGCGGUGGGAGGGAUCAGGGUUUCCUCGGCAUCUGUCAGUUCCUGGAGCAUCUGAAGGGGCAACCUACAUCUGGAGGGACGAGUGGGGCUGGCAUGGCAGCCGUGGGUACCCAGUGCCUGGCAUCUCCCGGUCCCUCUGCACUCCUUCACAGACCCCCUCCACUGAGCAGCACAGCCCUGAGGACAGAGGCAGCAGCCCGGAGAGCAUUUCCAACACAAGUGUAUUUAUUCAGAUUUACAGAGGAGACUCCCAAGAAGGGAUCAAGGGCAAAGCUGCAGAUACCUGCCCAGUAAGAAAGGAUUGGCUGGACUCAUGGGACAGUGAGGGGCAGGUGGGGUGACGCCCCCUGAGAGUGUGUCCUGAGCGGCAGCCAGAUGAAUGUUGCUGAAAGUGUGCGCUUCCGUAGCUCCACCCGUCGCCUUCCAGACCUCCCCGCAAGAUCCCCUGAAGAGCGUGACCUCCCGUCCAUUCGGCAGCCUUUGUAUGGGUGAGCUGCAGGAUGAGCUCUGGAGCCCCGAGGACACUCACAUGAAGAAACAGGAAAGCGCUUCGGUGUCCGGACUCUGGGGAAGGUGCCUCCGGGCCAGGGGCUUGUAGCGCUGCCAGAGUCGGAAGUUCUCAUACACGCUCUUGGGGUUGCGGGAGUCGUCCGGUUGGGCCUUGGCCUGGGAGGGAGCCUGGCUGCCCUCUCCUGUGAGCCCCUGUGGCCAUGGACAAGCAUUCCCUGGGACCAUGAUUGGGGCCAGCUGGGGAGCUGGUGGUGGUGCCGGAGGAGGAAGGCCCUGGGACCAGCCUCCCUCGCAGGCCUGGGUGCCCCCACGGAUGUGGGCAACCAUAGCGGGCACCACAGGGGCAGCUGCCAGGGGUCGGGGAGGUGGACAGGCGACGCCCUGACAGACGGCACCUGGAUCCCGCCAGACGAGGGGGGCCCGAGUUAGGACCAAGCUCUGUGCCUGAGGGGCGUUCACAGGCCCCACUGCUGUCAUCAUCUGGCCAAAGACGUUGGCAGCCGCAGUCCAGUUUGGGCCACGGCCAUCCUGUCCUGCCACCAGGGGGUUCCCGGGGAGGGCGGACAGCACCGGAGGCCCGGCUGGAGGAACCACUACAGUCACGAGGGGCAGGCCCGUGUGCUGGGCCUGGGAGCAGGUGUGGCGGAGGACAGAUGCCGUGAACACUGGUACGGAGGCGCCAGGAUUCUCGGUCACACCCAGUUUCGGCACUGGGCAUGCUGUGGAGACAAAGGAAAGAGGAGGGUCGCUUCACUACAGAGCCUGGCAUUUAGCCAAGAUUGCACCACUGCAUUCUAGCCGCGGUGACAGAGGAAGACUUUGUCUUGAAAAAGAAACGGUGAAAGAAAACCACUGGAUGGAAAUCUCUCCCAAGCCAGCACCCUGUGAACCCUGAAGAUAACCCAGACGUAUCACAUCCAGCGUGCAAGUGAUUGCUCCGGCACCAUGCCCAGGAAGUGCGAAACAUGGGUCAGAGUCAGGCUACACUUUGCUCAGUGCUCGGUGGUUCUGGCUGCCACUCGGGAAACUGUUCCCAGGGAGCAGGUCUGAGAAGCAGUGGUGGAGUUCCCUGAGAUAACUGUCAUCGCGUAGCCAGCAAGAGCGGCAGCGGCCCAGGAUUGGAGCACAGCCAGCAAGUGACUCACCUCCAUUUGAAGCCAUCCCCUCAGGCUGUCUGACAGUUUCCGAAAUGAAGAGUCAAGGGCAGGACCCAAAGAGUGACCUGCCUCAACAGAUUCUCCUGAGUUCAGGCUGGAGUGCAACGGCGCGAUCUCGGCUCACCGCAACCUCUGCCUCCUGGGUUCAAGCAGUUUUCUCCUGCCUCAGCCUCCCGAGUAGCUGGGACUACAGGUGCGCGCCACCACGCCCAGCGAUGGCCUAAAAAUGAGCAAAUGGACAAAGAAUCAUCCAGAUCCAGUUUAUAUCAUCCAGAAGUAUGGUGCCGAUGCGCUCAGGAAGAAGAAGAAAUAGAAUUUCUCUACAGUGAGAACACGGUUAGAAAAAGCCCCAACGUUAUAGAGCAGUUGAUCCUGUCCUUCCUGCAGUCUCUCAUUGGCUUUUGAGACUGAAAUGGCAGCUCAUAGGCUUUACGCUGCGGUGCCUCGCCUUGUCAAGUUUGUACCUGUUCUCACUGAUUGGUACGUUAGAGUGAACCGCAGAAGAUUAAAGGCUCCCUACACGCCUUUUCUCACCGAAUUAUGUACCAGAAUCUAAAGGUGCUGAUUGACCCUGUUUCUUUUCAAGACAAGGACACUCUCAGCAUCUACUACCUCAUGGUGCUCCAUGUUCGACUCCUACCUCUACCAUUCAGAGAAGAAUUGAUUGAUAAGAAAACACAGAGUGCAAUACCUCAGAUGCAGUCUGCGAUUGAACUGGAGUGAGUGAUCAGAGACCGCAAAACUAUUCCCAUAAAGUAUCCUUUGAAAGAAAUUGUGGUUAUUCAUCAAGAUCCAGAAGCUCUUAAAGAUGUCAGGUCUUUGGAGAAGUAUGUCAUUGAGAAGUUUUCAUGGGCUGAUCUGCUGAGUUCAGCCUGGGAACUGAGGACAACAUCGGAGUCUCACCACACAAGUUUUAAAGAACUCCUAGUGACUUGAAGCUCAGAACUGUGGACGGCAGAGGCUCCCUUUGGACCUGGAAUUCUCCAUCCCUUUCCAGGAAGAGAACAAAGUCCACAAGCACUGGACUCAGCUAUGAUGUGGAAGGAGACCCAGGCAUCUAGGAUCACUGCUCACUUGACUUCCACACUGCAUGCGAUCCCACCCAUGGGCAGGGGUUGUAAAUAUCCAGGAAGCUUCAUUCGCUGCCCCGCCUGCCGCUCACCUCCUGCUGCACUGGAAGAACAGGCUGGCCAACUGGCACUUCCCGAAUCAUCUUCCUGUAAGAUAGCAGGCGUGGUAUGGGGGAAUUGCUCCAGAAGGCACUGUGUGAACAAGAUCAAACCCCCACCCCACUCCUCCAUCUGGAGACCACAAACCUUUCACAUGUGAUUUCUUCUAAAGCUCUAAACCCGACCCUUUCAUAUGUGAUUUCUAAAGCUGUAAACCCAAGACCCUUUCACUUGUAAUUUCUAAGGCUGUAAACCUAAGAUCCUUUCAGGUGUAAUAUCUAGAGUGUAAGCCUAUAUAAAGGCAGAGCUUCUCUUUGGUAGGGGAGCUUGGCUUUUUGGAGAAAACAGAAAGACUUGCUCCCCGGCUGUAAUAAUAAAACCCCUUCCUUUUCUAGUUUGGUGUCUGAGAGGUCUGUUUCUCGGGGCCACCCAUGCUUCAAAGAUACAUACUUAGGAAUCUAUAUUUAUCUUGACCAAAUUCCUAUCUAAGGGGUCUGGGGAGUCAUGCCCUAGAAACCAUAAAUUCUCAUCAGAUGGGUUUUAGUUAACUGAAUAUCUUGAGUUACUUUCCAAUCUGACUCUGGCAUAACAAGGAAGAAAAUAAGACUUCUUACCCCAAAUCACGUUUCUCUGCUGUAUCUUGAAAUGGCCGUGCAAAGCCAUCCCUUACGGGAAAAAUCCACAUUCUACAGAGAAUCCCCUUUCCCCGCCAACUUUCUUUUUUUUUUUUCUUUAUAAUUUUCCUUACUUUUCAGAUCCAGGAGAUAAUCAAUUAAGAGCUAGGCACACUAGGUCCAGUAAGAAACAUUUUACAACCCGUUCACUCUGAGGUCUGCUGAGAGCUUCCUCUGCACAAUAAAACUUGGUUUCCACAAUCCUUUAUCUUACCCUGAACAUUUCCUUUCUGUUGAUCUCACAUAAUGAGGUCUUCACAUAAACUCAACCAAUUGUCAACCAGAAGAUGUUUAAAUUUACCUGUAGCCUGGAAGCCCCCUCUUUGAGCUGUCCCUUCUUUCAGAACCAAACCAAUACAUUUCUUAAAUGUAUUUGAUUGAUGUUGCAUGCCUCCCUAAAAUGUAUAAAACCAAGCUGUACCGUACCUACCUUGGGGCCACGUUCUCAGGACCACCCGAAGGCUGUGUCACGGGCCACGGUCACUCAUAUUUGGCUCAGAAUAAAUCUCUUAAAGAUUUACUCUCAACAUACCCAUCCAAAAUCCUCACUGCCCACAUUGCGGAGAUGAGCUCUUGAAACCUCUUCCUGUUCUGAGGGUUGUAUGGCUGGUGAAUGUUCUUUGCUCAAAUAAACUCUGUUAAACUUGUCUGAUAUUUUUAUCAGGAAGAAGCUUUAGUGUGGAGUCCAGUCGUCUGAGGCUUCCUGAGAAGCAAACUAAACAGGCCCCCACCAUUCAAGACUCACACCCUAGCAAGUUGGCCUGUGAACGU
Molecule: non-coding RNA, 7428 nt
Organism: Callithrix jacchus (white-tufted-ear marmoset)
Lineage: Eukaryota; Metazoa; Chordata; Mammalia; Primates; Cebidae
Source: RefSeq, a predicted model, not a curated record